Long non-coding RNA from Anas platyrhynchos (mallard), 1501 nucleotides. RefSeq lists it as uncharacterized. The record is from RefSeq and is a predicted model, not a curated record. Lineage: Eukaryota; Metazoa; Chordata; Aves; Anseriformes; Anatidae.
UCUCAUGCCUUUUACUGCUCUUCCAGCCACAGAGGAUGCUCUUUGCCACUUUGACACUAUGAUCCACAAGGAGCAAGGGCAGCAAGUGUAGGAGCAUUUCCAUCAGAAGGAUGAUGGAGGCAGGAUGCAUCACCGCUUACUGGCUCAGGCCAUUUUAAGAAAAAAACAACAGAGAAACAAACAAACAAAAAACAGCAUACUAUUAAAGCAGGGCAUGUGUUUCGGAGGUGGCUUGGGAGAUGAGAUGAGAUACUGAACCUAGAGUUUGAAGCUUGGUUGUGGGUUACUGUGAUCCGGCAUAUAACUUUCAGGAACUGCGUGGGUCACCAACAUGAAAAUACCUCCCCUUUUUUCUUCAGCUAAUCUGCAUUAAAACAAAGGUUAUAUUGUUCUAAGUACUAUCUCAUGUCAACAAUUACUGGGGCCCAGAGUUAGCUCAGCGAGGAGGGUUUCUGACAGUCCUGCUUACAGGCUCCAGACAGAGGCUUUCAACUUAAUACAGCCAAAAAGGCUUGCAGCCCCAGCCAGAACAAAUGAUGUAUGGCGAGCUCAGAAGAGAAACACUGUUCCCUACGACAUGCCAGAGCCUUCCCCACGUGGCUCCUGCGACGGCAUGGUGAGGCAGAUGAAAUCUCUGGGACACAAACCCGUCUUUCUCAGUGCUGGUUCUACGUCGUUAGGUUUCCUCCCAUUUCAAACAUCCAUGUCUGUUAACAUAGUAAUACACUGACUUGACGUCUGGACUUUGGCAAAAGGCAUGCGAGACCAACAUCUUGGGAAGGGAAUAGGAAGGCAUGUAUGUGAGUCAUGCACUCUCUUUUUACUUUUUUUUUUUUUUUUUUUUUUUUGCUUGGAUUUUGUUUUUCCACCUUUUGUAUGGUCUAUUUUCUUCAUAUAUCUGGUGGGUUAUUUACAGAUAAAAACUAAACUGUAAUACUAAAAAUUCUGUCUCUGUUUUCACAAGCCUUUUGGUGGCUAAAUUGCACAUGAAAUGGAAAUCCCAACUUUUGCCCUUGUAAUAACAUAUCUGAAAUCCAUGUCAGACACUAACUCCUUCAGAUUUUAUUCUUCUGCAUACCCCUCAUUUGUACACAGAAAUGUCUGGAUCAUCUCCUGUCUCCAUCCAGAUUUAGUAGCAGAGUGCUGCAGUGGGACUUCUCACUGUAAUACUGAGCCUUCCUGCACAUAUUCUGUUCUAUUGAUUUCACUGACAUCUCAUUAAAAGUUAUUUUCAUUCCUCUGUUUUUAAGAAAUGUUAAUAGCGUAUUAGUUUGGUGCUGCUGAAGGGACUCUACACAAAAACCUUUGACAGUAAGAUUGAUAGACCUUAAUAUAUUACUUACCAAACUCUUUAAAGAUAAUAUUACUUUUCAAAGAACUAGACUUCUUCCAAGCAGCAUCUUUUGCCCAGCCAUCUUGUUAUACAAACAUGUCUGUGGCUUUGAAAUGGAAAUAAUUUAUUCUAAAUAGCUAUAUUUUGAUUUCCCUGGGCCCCAUAAGA